RNAcentral lists this ribosomal RNA (253 nucleotides) under uncultured bacterium. Its description in RNAcentral is "partial 16S ribosomal RNA". It matches the Rfam family "Bacterial small subunit ribosomal RNA", at positions 524 to 776 of the family's 1533-position model. The record is from RNAcentral.
UACGUAGGGGGCAAGGGUUGUCCGGAUUUAUUGGGCGUAAAGAGCGUGUAGGCGGUUAGGUAGGUCCGUUGUGAAAACUCGAGGCUCAACCUCGAGACGCCGAUGGAAACCAUCUGACUAGAGUCCGGAAGAGGAGAGUGGAAUUCCUGGUGUAGCGGUGAAAUGCGUAGAGAUGUGGAGGAACACCAGUGGCGAAGGCGACUCUUUGGCCUGUAACUGACGCUGAGGCGCGAAAGCGUGGGGAGCAAACAGG